GUGCACCAGUCGCGAAAACUCCGCAAUACGCGAAAGCGUGACGGGGCCAUCCCGAGUGCCGUCCGCUGAGGAUGGCUUUUCCCCAGUGUAGAUAGCUGGGGGAAUAAGGAGAGGGCAAGUCUGGUGUCAGCCGCCGCGGUAAUACCAGCUCUCCGAGUGGUGUGGAUGUUUAUUGGGCUUAAAGCAUCCGUAGCUGGCUGAGCAAGUCCCCUGUUAAAUCCAGCGAUUCAAUCGUUGGCUUGCAGGGGAUGCUGUUCGGCUUGGAGGCGGGAGAGGCCGACGGUAUUCUCGGGGUAGGGGUGAAAUCCUAUAAUCCCGGGAAGACCACCA
Molecule: ribosomal RNA, 330 nt
Filed under: uncultured crenarchaeote
Lineage: Archaea; Thermoproteati; Thermoproteota
Description: partial 16S ribosomal RNA
Rfam family: Archaeal small subunit ribosomal RNA
Source: RNAcentral